CCUGUAAAGAAACUAGACUCCAAUAAAAACUGAUUUAAGAAAAGAAAACAACAGCAAACCCACCAUUUCACCCUCUGCAGCUCUGCCUUUGAAGAGUAGGCUUCUUUCUGAUUUCUCCGUACUUUUUCCUGGUCCUUCAGCAUCUCUUUUAAACGUCUAUGUUUUAGCGUCAGCCAGUGAUUUGGGCCGAGAUUACACUCAGCACUUGCAUCUCACUACUUCUGCCAUUCUGUUGUUGCCAGGAAUUCCUCUUUUAAUUUUCACCUGCUUUCCUAGCCCUAUUUUCUGACUUCUGGCACCUUGGGUCACAGAGGAUUUGGGUUUUCACAGUUGCAGCCCUGGGGGCUGUGGAGCAGUUUUGGGUCAGGAAGCCACAAAUUCCCAAUUCUUUUCCUUACAGUUGUGUUUUUUUUUGUUUGUUUGUUUUGUUUUGUUUUGUUUUGUUUUUAAAUUAAACUCUUCUCUGGCUUCUGCUUUUGGAUGCUUUCCAAAGCCUUUAAGGAAUUUUUGUUUUUACUCUGGUUUUUAUAAUAAUCAUCUGCAGGAGGAAUCAUGUGAUAUUCCAUUCCUGCGCUGUUGCUUCUACUUGGAUUUGACUCUAAGAAAAAUGUAGGUGUUCAGGGUGGGGUGAAGUGCCUGUCUACUUCAGACAUCUUGCUGAGCUGAGUCCCUUCUUUGACCUCUGGUCUCAUUUCAUUUCUUUUAGUCUUCUGUUAUACAGCCUGUCCCCAAGUAAUAUGUAAGGAGGUUAGAGCUCUAUAUGCAAUUGAGCUAGAGGAGACAGAGAGGCAGUAGGCAUCAGAAUCCUUCCCUAUAAGGAGAAGUCAGUCUUGCUGGGGAGAUGAGUGGAUGAACCUGCAGGAACUUUCAUAGUCUGAUGCUGAGUAACAUGCUGCCGGCCACUGUGCUACAGUUUAGGUACCAUUUGCUUUGCAAUACAUUGAUUUAGAGAUGUGAGGCUCUAAAUCACGUCACGGAAAACACCUGUCUGCUUUCUUUUGCAAACCCCAGUUUAUUCAACCCUGUCACUCUCCUCUCUCACAUCUAUGAUCGGCAGGUACUGUUUUUGCCUGCCAAAUACCUACCCUACCUUCUGGUCCAACAUGCCAAUUUUUCCUUGGGGAACCAUCUUGGAAUCAACUGCAUAAGCUGUGAUUGAGUGAGGAUGGGCCUAUGUUCAGGCUAAUUAGAAUAUUCCCUCCUCUGACUACAAUCAUUAGUUAAAGAAUGAGAUGUGAUGUGAGUUGGUCCACUGAGAUUCAUUCCCCAGACUUUUGUUAGAAAUUUAGGGAAAAAGAAGUCCUUCAUUUGGAACUGAUGAGAAGAUGGGGUAUAAUCUUUACCAACUUUACAGUAGGGCUUCCCUGGUGGCUCAGAUGGUAAAGAAUCACCUGCCUGUGAUGCAGGAGACCCAGGUUCGAUCUCUGGGUUGGGAAGAUCCCCUAGAGAAGGGCAUGGCAACCCACUCGAGUAUUCUUGCAUGGAGAACCCCAAGGACAGAGGAGCCUGGCGGGCUACAGUCCAUGGGGUAGCAAAGAGUCAAACACAACUGAGUGACUAACACACAUAUACAACACUAUCGUACCAAUAACUGCAGAUAAAACAAAUAAAAAUGUAGAGCUGGCCUUUUGUCCUUUCAAUCCUAUUUCUGGAACUAUGGAAGCUGCCUUGACAUCUCUUGGCAAGAGUCUGUUUCAGAGAAACCAACAAAAGAGAAAUUAGACUCAAGAGAUGAGAUAAGGUAUUCAUUUGGGCUUCUGAAAGCAGAUACACCUGGCAUUUUUACAGCUAAAUUUAUACCUAGACUUUUUAGUUACCUAAGCCCUUAAAUUUCUUUUAUGUUUAUGCCAAUUUGAGUUGCAUUUCUGUCACUUAUAACCCAAGGAGCCCUACCUGAAUAAUAGCAAUUCAUUGUCUCUUCAUCCCCUACAGGAUGAGAUUAGAACUUAUGGGCUUCACCAUUGUUGUAGUGGGUUGAAUAGUGUCCCUUUAAGAUUCAUGUCAGCCUCAGAAUGUGAUCUUAUUUUGAAAUAGGGUCUUUGCAAUAAUUAGAUGAGGGCCCCAAUCCAAUGGCUGCUAUCCUUACAAGAAGAUGUGAGAACACAGACACAGCAUAGAUGAAGAUGGAAGCAGAGGUUAGAGGGAGGCACCUAAAGUCGGGGAAGUGAAUAGCCAGGAGCCAGCAGAAUUUGGAAGAGGCAAGGAUGGAUCCUUCGCUAGACCCUUCACAGGAGCAGGACACUGCCAACACCUGAAUUUCAGUCUUCUGGCCUCCAGACUGUGACAGCAUAAAUUUCUGUUAUUUUAUACCACUCAGUGUGUGGUAAUUUGUUGUGCCAGACCUAGGAAAUUAAUGCAGUGAUCUAACUCCUACUUAUUUUUCCAGCCUCCUUGUAUAGACAACGGGGCAUCGUGGAUAAUAGCACAGACCUUGAAACUGGGCUUUCUGGAUUCAAUUUUGGCUUUUUCACACUAACCUUUCCGAGACUGAGGUGUCUAAGGGAGCUAAUGAUGCACUUCUUAAGGCUGUUGUGAGAAUAAAAUGAGUCUAUGUUUAAAGGCAUCUAAAGCAGUUUUUGGCACAAAUGAUGCAUUCAGUAAAUGAUGGCUGUUGUUAUUAUUAUUGUUGUUAUUGUGUAUUUACCUAACCUUCACCACUGUCUCCUGUUACAUUCACAAAAGUGCUGCCUAUUCAAACAAGAGGAAACUACUUGUACUUUCUCAAAAGAAACUUAGGCCAGGAGAGUUCAAGGAACUUCCGGCUCAUGAUCGACCAGCUCCUGUGUGUCAGAUUUGGAAUUCAAAUCCUGGUUGGCUUGUGUCCAUAUCAGGCGUGCAUGCGUGCGCAUGCUCAGUGGCUUCAGUUGUGUCUGACUCUUUUCAACCCCGUGGACUCUAGCCCACCAGGCUCCUCUGUCUAUGGGAUUCUCCAGGAGAAAAUACUGGAGUGGGUUGCCGUGCCCUUCUCCAGGGGAUCUUCCUGACUCAGGGGCUGAACCCAUGUCUCCUGCUUUGCAGGUGGACUCUUCAUCUGCUAACCCAUGUGGGAAGCCCGCCCAUGUUAGGUCCUAUGGAUCAUUCAGAGCAAAAGUAGUGAGUGGCAUAAAGGACCCCCUUGAUCUCCCUCUCGUUCCCUUUAUCCUGAGCCCUCUCCUCCAGCUCUGUCAACUCUUUGGAUACUGUUUAGUUAUCAGACUGUGCCUUGGGUGAUGGGGCACCCUCUGAAAGGGGCUGUGACUUUUUCUGAGGCCAGCAGGAAUUUUCUUCCUCAAGGUAAUAGGCCCCUCUUCUUGUCUCUAAAACCAUUGAAUAUCUUUGUUUUGGGGGUGGAGGUGGGAACUUAGAAAUCUCAUUACUCCCAUUUGUGAUAUUUGCAAUCAGUAAAGAUAUCCCCUAAAAGCACUUUUUAUAUGCUCAGAAAGAGACAGACUGGGAAGGAAGCCUUGUAAACCUGAAGCAGAUACUCCUGAUAAAAGCCUGCAGGAAACAUGCUCUUAUUUACUUCGAUGUUCUGCAAACUUUGCUAUCGAAACCUUGUAUUGAUUUUGUCUCAGUCUCUGUCAACAUGGGUACCCCUUGGGUCAAUACAUCCUGAUUAUCUAUCUCAGGACAGUUUGGAAUGAAGAAAUGGUUUUCUGAAGUUUUCUUUGUGUUAAGGUAAUUUUUUUGAUAUUCUACUAAAACCCCAGAGAGGCUGCCAGCAUCUCUCUCUCUCUCUUUAUAUUAUACACAUACAUACACACACACACACACACACACCACACGCCACACAGACCACACAGACACACAUAUGCAUGGUCUAUCAAUGCUGAUAUCUACAUUUAUCAAUCCAUAGAUAAGUUUCAGCAUAUUAAUAGAUAUAGAUAUACACACGUGUAACAAAUAUAUAAAUUACAUAAAUAAAAAUUAUAAAAGUAAAUAUAAAUAUUUCUAGAUUGAUGUACCUAAAAUAUUUAAAUAUUUAAGUAUAAUUUAUAUAUAUAUAUAUUAAGCCUCCCAUCUCUCUCAUCCCAGGUGUUUUCCUUCAUGCCUUCCUUCUGCCUGGCUCUCAUCUAUGUCUUUAUUUCUCUUCAUGUGUCUCCAUGGCUUCUUCAGUCCCUUCAGUUCACCCAUUUCUCUUGUCUUCAUUUUUCCAGUUCUGUUUCUGUCCUGUAUCUCUGAAUAAAGCUACCACUGGGGCUUCCCAGGUGGUUCAGUUGUAGAGAAUCUGCCUGCCGAGCAAGAGGCGUGGGUUUGAUCCCUGGGUCAGGAAGAUCUCCUAGAGAAGGGAAUGGCCACCCCCUCUAGUAUUCUUGCCUGGGAAAUCCCAUGGACAGAGGAGUCUGGCGGGCUACGGUCCAGGGGAUUGCAAAAGAGUUGGACACGACUUAGUGACUAAACAAAAACAGAGCUGCCAUUGACUGUCAAGAGAAAAUUAUGUUUUUCCCCUAAGCCCAGGGAGAUUUCUCCAUCCCAUUAGUGUUCCCUCCUUCCUAAGUUGUGUGUGUGUAUCAAGAAGUCAUUUCUAUAUUAAUAUUUUCUCUCCUUUUGCCCAGUGACCAUCCUGUGACAUCAAGUUUUAACCCCAUGAGAUUCUAGAGCAGGGGUAGCAAACAUUGCCUAUAAAGGACCAGAUGAUACUUAUUUUAGACGUUGCCAGUCACAUGGCCUCUGUGACUGUUACCGGUCUCGUCCCUAUUAUGUGCAAGACGAUGUGUAAACAGAGAGUGUGUCUGUGCUCCCAUACAGCUUUAUUUACAAAGACAGAGUAGCUUGCAGCCCCUGCUCUAGAGCCCUCCCCUUGGGAGGUGGGGCAUCUCCCUGUGUGUUUCUGACUUUUCCUUCUCUCACCCUUUUGGUGUGGUUGCCCAUGAUCUUGCAGGAAGAGCAGAGCCAGGAUUUGGACCAACUGCCUGAACCCCAGAACAGAAUGCUGCUGGCCCACUGGUCCCAGAGGAAGAUGCAAGUCAUGUGAAACAGAGCCACCUGGAGCCUGCAAUACAGUCUUUCUGGGCGACCCAUAUAUUCAUAAAUGAAAGGCUCUUGGAAGGAUGAAGAAGGAAACCUCCAGGAACCAUCUUAGCCACUCCAGUCACCACUGUUUUCCUCUGCACUGUGUGCUUAAAGCACUUAGGCUGCUCAGGAUGAUGGAGCAUUUGGUUUUCUGAGCCACUUCCGACCCUCUGUACUGAGACAACUUUCGAUGGACAGCACCACUUCCUGAGUAUCAUCUGGCCUCCUAAUAUCUCAGGUUGUCUCAGCUUUCCUCAGGGAAGGCAGGAGAUGAGAAGGAGCUAGCAGGCGAGUCUUUCUCCCUUCCUUCUCCUGGAUGACUUGCCACAUUUCCCCUGAUGGCUCAUCAUCUGAGCCAUAGGCUAUAUUUUUCCCCAGACUGUUGCCAGCUUAGGUAACAUCACCUCGCAUCUGCUUUCCCUCUUUCUUCUCUUGCUCUUCCUUGUUUUUCUCUUGUGGCCCUAGUCUGCACCUCCCAAGAAAGCCUUCACAAAUAAGCUUUAAUUCAAAGGAUAGAGAAACUGGCAGGCUACCAUCCAUUGGGUGACAGAAGAGUCAGACACGACUCAGUGACUAAACAACAACAAGGUAAGCUUUACUGCAGGCUCUGCUGUCUUGAGAAUCCAGCCUAAGGGACUCCCUCUUCCUACCUACUCUUAACCCCUCUUUUUCUUUCUCUAAUACCCUAUGCUUUUCUCUCACAACUUUUCUCACACAACUGGUAAUCAUAUAUAAUAUAUACAUUAAUGUGAUUAUCUAUAUAACAGCACUUUCUCUCCAUCCCCCAUAAGUUCCAUGAGGCAAAAAUUAUGCAGGGUGUUUUGUUUGUUUGUUUGUUUGUUUUUGGCCCUGUGACUUGCAGGAUCUUAGUUCCUCAAACAGGGAUUGAACCCGGGCCCCAGCAGUGGCAGCACCAACUCCUAACCACUGAACAGGCAGGCAAACAACUGGAGACCCAGAGAAGUUAAGAAACUUGCCUAAGAUCAUACAGUUGGUAAUUGCAAGACUGGGAUUUGAACCCAAACUUAAACUUCAUAGUCCUAGCAAUAAGAAUUAUGCUUUCUUCCCUAUCUGAAAAUAAUAGUGGGGCUUCCUGUUGGCUCAGUGAUAAAGAAUCGGCUUGCCAACGUGCAGGAGACACAGUUCGAUACCCUAUCUGGGAAGAUCCCAUGUGCUGUAGAGCAACUAAGCUGUGCAGCACAACUAUUGAGUCUGUG
This is a long non-coding RNA of Bubalus bubalis (water buffalo), 6209 nucleotides long. RefSeq lists it as uncharacterized. The transcript has 5 exons. NCBI's taxonomy places the organism in Eukaryota, Metazoa, Chordata, Mammalia, Artiodactyla, Bovidae. The record is from RefSeq and is a predicted model, not a curated record.